Molecule: transfer RNA, 71 nt
Filed under: Candida maltosa
Lineage: Eukaryota; Fungi; Ascomycota; Pichiomycetes; Serinales; Debaryomycetaceae
Also listed under: 1 other name
Description: tRNA-Asn
Rfam family: tRNA
About the family: Transfer RNA (tRNA) molecules are approximately 80 nucleotides in length. Their secondary structure includes four short double-helical elements and three loops (D, anti-codon, and T loops).
Source: RNAcentral
GUCUUAGUAGCUCAAUGGUAGAGCUGUACACUGUUAAUGUAUAGAUUCUAGUUCAAUUCUAGACUGAGACG